RNAcentral lists this ribosomal RNA (615 nucleotides) under uncultured Synechococcus sp. Its description in RNAcentral is "bacterial SSU rRNA". It matches the Rfam family "Bacterial small subunit ribosomal RNA", at positions 122 to 770 of the family's 1533-position model. Lineage: Bacteria; Bacillati; Cyanobacteriota; Cyanophyceae; Synechococcales; Synechococcaceae. The record is from RNAcentral.
GAAUCUGCCCUCAGGAGGGGGAUAACGGCUGGAAACGGCCGCUAAUACCCCAUAUGCCGAGAGGUGAAAUGAAUUUCGCCUGAGGAUGAGCUCGCGUCUGAUUAGCUAGUUGGUGUGGUAAAGGCUCACCAAGGCUUCGAUCAGUAGCUGGUCUGAGAGGAUGAUCAGCCACACUGGGACUGAGACACGGCCCAGACUCCUACGGGAGGCAGCAGUGGGGAAUUUUCCGCAAUGGGCGCAAGCCUGACGGAGCAACGCCGCGUGAGGGAUGAAGGCCUCUGGGCUGUAAACCUCUUUUAUCAAGGAAGAAGAUCUGACGGUACUUGAUGAAUAAGCCACGGCUAAUUCCGUGCCAGCAGCCGCGGUAAUACGGGAGCGGCAAGCGUUAUCCGGAAUUAUUGGGCGUAAAGCGUCCGCAGGCGGUUUUACAAGUCUGUCGUUAAAACGUGGAGCUCAACUCCAUUUCGGCGAUGGAAACUGUAAGACUAGAGUGUGGUAGGGGCAGAGGGAAUUCCCGGUGUAGCGGUGAAGUGCGUAGAUAUCGGGAAGAACACCAGUGGCGAAGGCGCUCUGCUGGGCCAUAACUGACGCUCAUGGACGAAAGCCAGGGGAGCG